CGGCAGGCUUAACACAUGCGAGUCGAGCGCUGUAGCAAUACAGAGCGGCGCACGGGUGAGUAACACGUGGGAACGUGCCCUAUGGUUCGGAAUAACUCAGGGAAACUUGAGCUAAUACCGGAUAAGCCCUUACGGGGAAAGAUUUAUCGCCAUUGGAGCGGCCCGCGUCCGAUUAGCUAGUUGGUGGGGUAAAAGCCCACCAAGGCGACGAUCGGUAGCUGGUCUGAGAGGACGACCAGCCACACUGGGACUGAGACACGGCCCAGACUCCUACGGGAGGCAGCAGUGGGGAAUCUUGGACAAUGGGGGCAACCCUGAUCCAGCCAUGCCGCGUGAGUGAUGAAGGCCCUAGGGUUGUAAAACUCUUUCGGCGGGGACGAUAAUGACGGUACCCGCAGAAGAAGCUCCGGCUAACUUCGUGCCAGCAGCCGCGGUAAUACGAAGGGGGCUAGCGUUGUUCGGAAUUACUGGGCGUAAAGCGCGCGCAGGCGGUCCUUCAAGUCAGAGGUGAAAGCCCAGAGCUCAACUCUGGAACGGCCUUUGAAACUAGGGGACUUGGGUACGGGAGAGGUGAGUGGAAUUCCGAGUGUAGAGGUGAAAUUCGUAGAUAUUCGGAAGA
This 619-nucleotide ribosomal RNA is filed under the name uncultured bacterium. RNAcentral describes it as "bacterial SSU rRNA". It matches the Rfam family "Bacterial small subunit ribosomal RNA", at positions 40 to 705 of the family's 1533-position model. The record is from RNAcentral.